AACUCUAGAGUUUGAUCAUGGCUCAGGAUUAACGCUGGCGGCAUGCCUAAUACAUGCAAGUCGAACGGAGUAGCAAUACUUAGUGGCGAACGGGUGAGUAACACGUAUCUAAUCUACCAUUUAGUGGGGAAUAACUGUUGGAAACGACAGCUAAUACCGCAUAAUAUUGCUGGAUAAUUUCCAGUAAUGAAAGGAGCUUUCAAGCUCCGCUGAUUGAUGAGGAUGCGGCGCAUUAGCUAGUUGGUAGGGUAAUGGCCUACCAAGGCAAUGAUGCGUAGCCGAUCUGAGAGGAUGAACGGCCACAUUGGGACUGAGACACGGCCCAAACUUCUACGGAAGGCAGCAGUAGGGAAUUUUUCACAAUGGGCGAAAGCCUGAUGGAGCAAUGCCGCGUGACUGAUGAAGGUCUUCGGAUUGUAAAGGUCUGUUGUAAGGGAAGAAAUGGUAAAACAGGAAAUGGUUUUAUCUAUGACGGUACCUUACCAGAAAGCCACGGCUAACUAUGUGCCAGUAGCCGCGGUAAUACAUAGGUGGCAAGCGUUAUCCGGAUUUAUUGGGCGUAAAGGGUGCGUAGACGGUUUUGCAAGUCUGAGGUUAAAUUUAGGAGCUCAACUCCUAAUCGCCUUGGAAACUACAAGACUAGAGUAUAGGAGAGGUUAGUGGAAUUCCAUGUGUAGCGGUGGAAUGUGUAGAUAUAUGGGAGGAACACCAGUGGCGAAG
This 720-nucleotide ribosomal RNA is filed under the name uncultured Spiroplasma sp. RNAcentral's name for it is "bacterial SSU rRNA". It matches the Rfam family "Bacterial small subunit ribosomal RNA", at positions 1 to 720 of the family's 1533-position model. The record is from RNAcentral. Lineage: Bacteria; Bacillati; Mycoplasmatota; Mollicutes; Entomoplasmatales; Spiroplasmataceae.